CUGCCAGACUCCUACGGGAGGCAGCAGUGGGGAAUAUUGCACAAUGGGGGAAACCCUGAUGCAGCAACGCCGCGUGAGUGAAGAAGUAUUUCGGUAUGUAAAGCUCUAUCAGCAGGGAAGAAAAUGACGGUACCUGAGUAAGAAGCCCCGGCUAACUACGUGCCAGCAGCCGCGGUAAUACGUAGGGGGCAAGCGUUAUCCGGAUUUACUGGGUGUAAAGGGAGCGUAGACGGCGAUGCAAGUCUGAAGUGAAAGCCCGGGGCUCAACCCCGGGACUGCUUUGGAAACUGUAUGGCUGGAGUGCUGGAGAGGCAAGCGGAAUUCCUAGUGUAGCGGUGAAAUGCGUAGAUAUCAGGAGGAACACCGGUGGCGAAGGCGGCCUGCUGGACUGUAACUGACACUGAGGCUCGAAAGCGUGGGGAGCAAACAGGAUUAGAUACCCUAGUAGA
This 449-nucleotide ribosomal RNA is filed under the name uncultured bacterium. Its description in RNAcentral is "bacterial SSU rRNA". It matches the Rfam family "Bacterial small subunit ribosomal RNA", at positions 328 to 794 of the family's 1533-position model. The record is from RNAcentral.